UUAAUCUUAUUUUUAUAUUUUAUUUUUAUAAUAUAUUUUUAGUUUGAAUUAAUUUUAAUAUUUUAUUGUAAAAUUUAUAUAUAAUUAUGUAGUAUUAUUUUUAGUACCUUUUGUAUUAGGGUUAAUUUAUUUAUUUAAAUCAUUUUUUAUCCCGAAUUUGAAUUAUUUAAUUUUAUAUUGUUUAAUUUGUAAUAAAAAAUUUUAUAAAUAUUUUAUUUGUAAUUAAAAGUUAUUCGUAUUCAAUUUAUAUCUGGUUACUUUAGAUUUAAUUAAAUUUUGAAUUAUUUUAAAUUUUUUAAUAUUUUUAUUUAAUUUUAUUUUAUAAGGGAUAAUCUUUAUAUUUUAAUAUAAUAUUCUUAUUUUUAUUUUAAUUAUCUUUUAAAUUUUGUAUAAAGUUUUUAAUAAAUUUUUUUAUUUUGAUUUAAUUUUUUUUUAUUUAUUUUCAUAUAAAGUUUAUUUAAAUUUUAAUUAUUUAUUUUAUAUAAUGAUUAUAUUAGUAGAAUUUUAUAAGUAUUAUAAUUGAAUUCGACAAUUAUAUUUUUCAACUGUUUAUCAAAAACAUUUUUUUAAGAUUAAAUUAUUUAAAGUAAGUUCUGCUCUAUGAAUAAUUUUAAAUGGCUGCAGUAUUUUAACUGUACAAAGGUAGCAUAAUAAUUAGUCUUUUAAUUGAGGGCUUGUAUGAAUGAAUAAAUGAAAAAUUUAUUAUAAUAGGUUUUACAAUUUUAAUUUAAUUUAUUGGUAAAAAAGCUAAUUUUUUUAUUUGGGACGAAAAGACCCUACAGAACUAUUCUUAUUAAUUUAAUUUAAUUUUAAUUAUAAUUUAAUUUAAUUUUUAAAGUUUUAUUGGGGUGAUAAUUAAAUUUAAUCUUUAUUAUUUUAUUUCUUUUUAAAAGAUUAAAUUGAUUCAAUUUGAUUGAUUUUAAGAUAAAGUUACCUUAGGGAUAACAGCGUAAUUUAAAUGGGGAGUUCAUAUUUAUAUUUAAGAUUGCGACCUCGAUGUUGAAUUAAGAUUAUUUAAAGGGGUAGAAUUUUUUAAUUUAAGUCUGUUCGACUUUUAAAUUCUUACAUGAUUUGAGUUCAAACCGGUGUGAGCCAGGUUGGUUUCUAUCUUAAUAAUUUUUAUUUAUUUUAGUACGAAAGGACCAAAUAAUUCAUUAUUAUUUAAUGUAUAAUUUUAAUAUA
RNAcentral lists this ribosomal RNA (1182 nucleotides) under Arboridia sp. 1 NZ-2023a. RNAcentral describes it as "16S ribosomal RNA". The record is from RNAcentral. Lineage: Eukaryota; Metazoa; Arthropoda; Insecta; Hemiptera; Cicadellidae.